CAUGAUAUUGGGGUGAAAGCUCACGUCAAAAUAACGUUUUCUUUGAGAAGAUGAAAAUAAUCAUGCAAUUGCUGUUAAUUUGGAUGCAAUUUCAUGCUUUUCAUGCCUCUCCAUCACUAGUUAAACGUUUGCUUCAAUCUUCUCUUUUCUAGCUUUCUUAAUUGCACUGUAUCUACUUGCAAGAAACAAAAGAUUGGAAAUUUCAUCACCAUUACAUAACCCCAUCUUUUUUGCCCAUGGGGAGGCCUCCUUGCUGUGAUAAAUCCAAUGUGAAAAGGGGUCUCUGGACUGCUGAGGAAGAUGCUAAGAUACUUGCUUAUGUAUCCAACCAUGGCAUUGGCAAUUGGACUUUGGUCCCUAAGAAAGCAGGGCUCAACAGAUGUGGGAAGAGCUGUAGGCUUAGAUGGACUAAUUACUUGAGGCCUGAUCUCAAGCAUGACAACUUCACCCCGCAAGAAGAAGAACUCAUUAUUAAUCUUCAUAAAGCUAUAGGUAGCAGGUGGUCAUUAAUUGCAAGGCAGCUUCCCGGAAGAACAGACAAUGAUGUGAAGAACUAUUGGAACACUAAGCUUAGGAAGAAGCUUUACAAGAUGGGAAUUGAUCCCGUAACUCAUAAACCCUUCUCUCAGAUUCUUUCUGAUUACGGUAACAUUAGAGGCAUAUCAAAUAACACAGGUAACGACUUUGCUUCUUUCAAUAAAAACUUUAACUCCAAUCUUACGUCCAAACCAGAACAACCAUCAUCUUCUGUCUUAACUGGACCUUCAAGUUCUAAUGUAAUCCUGAGGCCUCCCAUAGAACAAGUUCAAGAAAACUCAUUCACUAAUAACAGCCGUUCCUGGGAAUUGCUGCCCCAGUUUCACGUCACCAACCAUGACAUUUUGCAACCACAUUUGAUUAAUGUGGUUAGCUCUUCUUGCUCAUCUUCAUCUUCAUCUUCCACUACUGUCACACAGUUAAACUCACCACAAUCCUAUACCUGCCAACAAUCUCAGACUCCAAUAACACCCUCUUCUCCUAGUUUAUGGAGUGAGUUUCUCCUCAGUGAUCCUGGAAUGUCUCUGGACUUUCAGCAGCAGCAACAAAAGCAAGACUCUCAUGGGGCGUUGUCAUCAACCUCAACACAGAAUGAUAUAUCCCAUGACAAGUUCACUGGUGGGAAUGAGGAUUUUGGACCAUAUGAUCAUGGAAUAAUAAAUGGCAAUCAAACAAACAGCCAUGUUGAUGCAUAUUCAUCUUCUGCAAGUUCAUUUGUGG
RNAcentral lists this unclassified non-coding RNA (1257 nucleotides) under Hevea brasiliensis (rubber tree). The record is from RNAcentral. Lineage: Eukaryota; Viridiplantae; Streptophyta; Magnoliopsida; Malpighiales; Euphorbiaceae.